RNAcentral lists this long non-coding RNA (5205 nucleotides) under Carica papaya (papaya). RNAcentral describes it as "long non-coding RNA (CPAP_LNC002020)". The record is from RNAcentral. Lineage: Eukaryota; Viridiplantae; Streptophyta; Magnoliopsida; Brassicales; Caricaceae.
UUUGUUUUUCUAUUGUUAUUACACUUAGUUGCUUAUAUUGGCUGGCACUCUUAUUAAAAUAAGUUAUGAAAAAGAAAAGCUUUACUCCGGCUUUGUGUAAACAUGUAUCGAGAUAAAUUCAUAAAUGAAAAACACUCGCCAUUUUAAUUACCUUAUUUCCUCAUGAGAUUCGUAGGUUUCCCGAGGGAGACAAAUAUGUAGUAUCUAACCAGCCCUUAGCCUCAUCACCAAGAAGCCUGAAUGGCACUGGAUAUGGAACCUUAAACGGUCAGAAUUUGAAAGAAAACGCUGCUCUAUCAAAUUGAAAAAGAAUCCGUUUCCCAUCCUUAAUUGAUGCUGCUGCCUGGAUCGAGAGGAUGAAAUUAAAUAACCAAAUCAUAAUUGAAACCAACAGUGUGACAAGAAGUCAAUAGAAGUCAGAAACAGUUGAUUUUAAGAAGUUCUACCUCUACUUUCAGCUCACCAAUAGUAUCGGAAAACUUCACAAUGUUAGACACUCAGAGGAUUAUUUGUUCGGAGGAACACGUCUCUGUACAGGGUAUCUUGAUCACAGAAAGCGAACAAGUCCAAAGGUGGCUAACCUGAAUUGGAAAUGCUGUUCCUGGCCUUGUGGCGAACAUCAGUUGCCACCUACCCUCAAUUAGAGUAGAGUCUGUCUGGCAUUAUAUAUGAGACGUUCAGGUAAGAGCAUUAUCUUUCCUUGUGCAACUUACUGACGAAUGGGACUCCGAUAAAAUUAAAUUGAAGUGUCAAUAAAGUUAAAUCGAAGGGUCAGUUACAGCUACUCCAAUUAGUGAAAUUAGUGUAUGUUUCACAUAUAAAUUUAGGAAGCUAAACAAAACGCUUAUUUAAGCUUUAAAAAUAAAGGAAAAAGCAAAAGCUAUAGACCAGGAUUUUCUGGACCAAUUAACAACAGAACUGAAUCCAACAAGACUAUAGAAACUACAGCAAGAAUAAAUGCUUGAAGCAAAUUACAGAAAAUUGACUGACUGAAUUAGCUUCCAAAUUGUAAUAUGUUAGUCAAAGUGUCAGGACAGUAUAAUUACAGUGAAUAUGAGCUUUCAACCUGUACUAAUAAGUUAACAAUUACCUAGUCCAGUAACGAAAAAUUUUCCAAGCUAGUUUUACCGAGAAUCAACUAAUUCUUUUCAAGAUGACAUUAUAUAUAUAUACAUAUAUAUACAUAUGUAUUUGUGUCCAGAGUUUGACUCAGUCAAAGUGAAAUAUCUUUUCGUCAGACUUCUUUUUUAUCUAUAAAAAUUCCUCGGGAGCAGGAAUAUUACUUCAACUCUAUGAUAGGUCCCAGUCAUAACCAACCAGAUAAAUGGUGUUUAAUUUCUAUUUUAGGCUAGAACUACCUCAGUAUUUUAAACCAAAUGAGACUUGCUUUUAUUCAUGAGCUCGGAAGCUUAUAUAGGCAAUCUCCAGCAACUUCUUCCUGCUAUUCAGGAAGCAUAACGGCUAGGUGAUAUGGAUAAAAUCGGAAACAACCGAAAGAAAGCAACAGAAAGGAAAGAUAAACAUGAUCAACAAGUUUAGAAGAAAUGGAAAGCUUGACCGAGUCUGCCGGUGUGGUUGCUCCUGCUUUCCUCAUAGAUACUGCGAUUCUGGAUUGGCUUCCUUCGUGAUUUCUGGAUUUAUCACUGUAACCUAGCUAAAGAGAAGAAAUCUUGUACAAACACAAGAUAGCACAAAAAACUCAAAAAAUUACUCACAGGAUUUACCAUUCCUUGCAAAUCUUCUAAAACCUUAACGGCACGCUCAACAUCCUGAAAAACUUCCCAUCGGAUCCAGACAACCACAUAACAAGUUCCAAAACCAGACAUUAGAAGAUACAAACGAAAAGUGAAAAUCAUAAAAAAGGAAUUCACUACAAAGAAAUGAUGAAAUAUUUAUUUACAUUGAGUUGCCGAGAAGAAGUCGAUCGGCCGCGGGAUAAGAGCUCCGAUGAGCUGAGUUUCAGGUUCCGCGAAUGAAACCUUUUGCUACUCACCGACUAGAGACGAGCAAUGAGCGUGGAGACUUUACCAACUUCGACAAGGUUUUUUCCGUAGCUUUUGAUGUCUAAAAGCAAAGAUUCCGGAACUCGUUAAUGGCGAUUUUGGAAUUAAACGGAUUGGUAACGUGUUUGCAUUGUUGAAUUCAAGCGCCAUUGUCGAAGAAGAAGAAGACGACUAUGAGAGUGAUUUUUAGUUUUGCUCUGUUGAUAUAUUUUCUCAUUUUCCUGUUAAAGCGAGGUGUUGUUUUGUGUGCGGUAUAGGCAGUUAAUGGGGACACUCCCACAUCUAUGUAUCAGUGCACGUGGAAUCGUCUUGUUCGGACACGUGCAUUCCUAGGAUUGGUUGAAACCAGAUUCUGUUUGUACUGCGCAUACUGGAUUCAUACCUAGAACCGAAUUGGGCCAAAUAUUGGUUAUCGGUCCAUUCAGGUAUAUUAGGCCCAAACACUACCCAACUCACGGCCCAAACUCGGCCCAACACGGCCCAACUCAGGUGAUAAAUGUAUUAAUAAACGUGGAAUCGUCUUGUUCACACACGUGGAUGGCUAGGAUUGGUUGAAACCAGGUUCUGUUUAUUGUGGAUAUACUGGAUUCAUAACUAGAACCGAAUUGGGCCAAACAUUAGUUUUCGGCCCAUUCAGGUAUACUAGGCUCAAACACGGCCCAACUCAGGCCCAACUUACAGCCAAAACACGGCCCAACUAAGGCACAACUCAGCCCACAGCCCAACUCACGGCCCAUUAAUAUAUAUUAGGCCCAAACACGGCCCAAUUACGGCCCAACUCAGGUGAUAUAAAAUUAACAAAAGGCCUUAUAUAGUAAUAUAUAUAUAUAUAUAUAUAACAAUUAUCUGCUUCUGCUCCCUUCUAUGUUAAAAGAGUUCGUAUUGUGUGCAAAGUUGGACUAAAGAUAUAAAUAUGACAUAACAUGCAACUAUAUAUAUAUAUAUAUUGAAAAUUAUUUCAAUAUAUAUAUAUUUAUUGAAAAUUUGUUAAAAAGAAUACGGAAUCUGUCACUUGGAAAUUCAUGUGUUCUUUAAACGCUAUCCCAAUUAAAUAAAAUAUAUAUAUAUAUAUAUAUAUAUCGUUUAAAAUAGUUCGCACAUUAAAAUUAGUUUGUGAAUUUGACCGUACUCUUCACAGCAAGAACGCAUUUAGCAUUAGCUACAACAUUAUACAUCCAAAGAAGAAGAGAGAGUGCUUAAAAAAGAUUGGAUUUCUAUUUCCCUGACCCAUCUGUCCGUAGGUGCACAAACAAGAUAUUAUUAUAGCCACGACUAAUUCGUAUCUUCUCAUCACUGUACCUGCGCAAUGUAACAUCCAUAUUCAACAAGGUACCGACAGACUUCCUCAACAACAUGUGCGAAACAAACUAAUGAAAUGAUUAAACUUACAGAAGCUCCAGCUUAAUCUUGGUUUCCAUUUCAAUUUCGUAUCCGAAUGGACCCACGAUUAUCGCUGCGUCAUCCAUUGUAAGCUCAUAGGUUGUCGCUCCAGAUUUCCUGCAAAUUAUUUGUUACGUGAACUUACGUUUUCGUACAUUUUAUGGAAAUUUAAGAAAAAUAAAUCACAGUUUGAAAUUGUUACCGAUGUGCUAUUUUCUUAUAAUAUAGUUGUUCUAUUUUUUUGUUGUUUUACAUAGAGUUAUUAUUUUCUAAGUGAUAACUCUAUAAUUUUUUUUCUUGGUCAUUUUUAGAACACGUGCUCUAAAAACUAUAACAAUCAUAGAAAAAACAGCAAAAUUCAAAAAAUAUGCUGGACUGUUAAGAAGGAAAAGAAACUAAAUAACUUAAACUGCAAUAAAAUUGGGCAACAAAAAAUUUCUGCUGGUGUUAUUCAUGCAAGAGUAAUCGAAUCAACGAGCCAUUAGUAUUGCUUUGGAGUGCGUAGGGAAUAUGUGAUACUUACACAAACUUGCCAAUCAUUGAGAAUCUUAUCCCUGGUAAGAUGUUGACUACAAACUUCAGCUGUCCGUUGUCCUUGACAAUCUAAAUCAGAUACAAUUGAGAGAGUAACAAAGUGAAUUGGAGAAACCCUGAGAAACUAGGUAAGUUUUAUCCCACAAAAUAUUUGAAAUUUGGCAGACUGAUUAUGUGUCUGUGUGUGUAAAUAUACUCUCUGGUAAUAGUAUAUGAGAAAUGUACUUACCUGCAAUCCCAUAAGACCAUUACCAGCAUUCUCUAUCCAACUGUCUGUCUCUGUCUGUUACGGUUAACUCAUUCAGUUGAGAUGAAAUAUGUUAGGUAUUUGCAUUCAUUAUUUUACAUUCAUUUAUGUUAGAUUUAUAAGCUUACACCUUAACCUCUUUUUUUCAGGCUAUAAUCAGAAAUUAACAUUCAAUUUAAUUGGAGUGACGAGGAAGCUAUUUUGAAAAAUUAUAAAAAGUAGUUUCAUGAGAAACGUAAAGUUAAAACUACAUUUUUUCAGUUUCAUCAAUUUUGGUUGCUUUUAGAAUGUGUUAUUUCAGUUCUGGGAAAUUUUCUUAGCUUCUUUUGACUAAAUUAAGUAUAGAUUUUUUCGAAUUCUAAAUAAAGUAUUUUUAUGGCUUAAACAUAGGCUACGUGGAUGUUAGUAUGAUCAUUAAUAAAUCACCUGUGAACUCCAUAUCAUCUGCCAUUCUCCCUCUAAUAGCUUUGGUUCCUCAUUGCCGCUUUCACUUCGAAGUGAUAUGAACUCACCAAUUGCCUGCAAAAUAAAUAUUAUUACUUAUUAUGGCUUGUCAAGAAUAAUCCAACAGAAGCAAAAUUUGCAAGAGGACACCAAUUGCUUUAACUUCAAAGUUUCACCUCUUCAACUCCUGCUCCUGUCGAAAUUGCUGUCAACAGUCUUUGCCUUGGUUCACUUGCCUUUUGCAGCACAAAUGUGGUUCCCUGCACUACAAAACAUUGCAAGUAUCCUUUGGAUAUCAAAUAGCAAGGCAACGGGAAUUGCAUGUACACCAGAAUCUGGAUGAACUUUUUAAAAAAAGGUUUAAGUAAGAAACUAUCAAAUUUAUUAUUUAUUUUGUAUCUUAAGAAAACAUAUGUAUGCUUAAGAUUUGCUCCCUAUUGUGUAAACCUGUAUCAAGAUAAGUUCCUAAAUGAAAAUAACAAGUGCCAUUUUAAUUACCUUAUUUCCUCGUGAGAUUCGUAGGUUUCCUGAGGGGGACAAAUAUGUAGUAUCUAACCAGCCCUUUGCCUCAUCACCAAGAAGCCUAAAUGGCACUGG